UGGUGGAGUGAUUUGUCUGGUUAAUUCCGAUAACGAACGAGACCUCAACCUACUAAAUAGUUAUGCAGACUCUUCUACUCAAGAGCGUCGGUGGGGUGGGCAAGUCUUCGGAUGAGCUUAUUCUGUCCGGACUCUGGAUUAGUCUGUAGCGAACUUCUUAGAGGGACUAUCUGUGUUAAGCAGAUGGAAGUUUGAGGCAAAAACA
Molecule: ribosomal RNA, 205 nt
Filed under: uncultured eukaryote
Lineage: Eukaryota
Description: partial 18S ribosomal RNA
Rfam family: Eukaryotic small subunit ribosomal RNA
Source: RNAcentral